AGGUACCCCUUAAUGGCACGCAGGCCAUUGGUAGUAACCUUUAGGAGUGAGGUCUGUCCCUCUAGUCUCCUAUGAAUUAGAUAGAGUCAAGCUGAUUUUUUCAGGUUGAUCUCUUUACAAAGGUGAGUGUAAACGAUACUGUGAUACAUUUACCUCAAAGUAUAGAUUUUUGGCAUUUCGCUAUGCAAUGCAAUGUUUAAAACAUAGAUGUGACUUCAACAGUUAGUCGACAUCGGGUAGCUAAUUUCCGGCUACUUUUCUUUCAAGCAAUCAUGUGUACUGAGUUGAUGUUUUCAUUAGAUACCGCCUGUCCUGGAUGACUCUUACACAAAAAUGGACAUAGAACGUUUAUAACAUUUAACUUUGGCUAACUUUAUAUUAAUCAGUAGGUAUUAUAUGCUUAAAUUUGGUACAGACUAGACGAAUCGAUUCUUUUUCAUAAUUUUGAACUAUUACUUCAUAUCUUUGAGGUUAUGGGUCGAUAUCUAAUUCUUUUUCCAUGCAAUAACAUAAAAUAGACAUAUUAUAAUAAACAUAAAAUUAUUUUUGGUUUUUCUCAUUGGUUUUUUACUUGGCAUACAUUUAUAAAUACAAUAUUUCCUUGAACAAUUUUACAAUUUUUGGCAUUUGUGAAGUUGGCACUUUUGCUUGAUGUGUUCUUUCGCUCACAGCUGAUUGUUGAUUUUUAUAAUCUCGAAACGAUUUCCUGUAUUUACAGGCUAAAUGCAUAACUUAAUAUCAUCAAUAUUUCAUUUAAUAAUAUUUAUAAUUUGUGCACAGAUUCUUAAUUGGACAAAUUUAUCCGGCUUUAUUUUCAAUAAUAAUUUCAUUUUCCAGGUCUGUAACAAUAUCCAUGGAGCUUUGUUUUGGUUUGAGUUGGAACUCGACCUCGCCUCGUUGUGGACAAAAUAUCAUAAUAUUUACACAGUGGAUCCGGGAUUAUGUGCGGUAACUGCUGCUCGACUUGGAUUUCAAGGAGACACUGGGUUGUUACUCUAAGGCGACGUUCUGGAUUGAUACCUGAUAGGUAUCGAAGGAGCGGCAUAUGGAGGUGAAGCGGUUGGUGCAUCCUGGAGCUCUAUCUGGGUGGACGAGUGCUGGCCCAGAUUAUUGGUGUUGAAACCCAUGGAGGAUAUGCUGCCGGGCUCACGACUCCUUGGGGUCUCCGCCUCGUCGUCCACUGGAAUGGGGGUGCUGGAUGGAGCGUCGUCGACUAUUGCCGCAUCCGCCUGCGCGCUGGGUCCUGAGGGUAGUGCUACUGGGUACGAGACAUCCGAAUUGGGGUUGGAGUCUUCCAUGGUGGAGUGGCAGAUUCUUG
Nilaparvata lugens (brown planthopper) is the source of this 1318-nucleotide long non-coding RNA. RefSeq lists it as uncharacterized. NCBI's taxonomy places the organism in Eukaryota, Metazoa, Arthropoda, Insecta, Hemiptera, Delphacidae. The transcript has 3 exons. The record is from RefSeq and is a predicted model, not a curated record.